Molecule: ribosomal RNA, 392 nt
Filed under: uncultured bacterium
Lineage: Bacteria
Description: bacterial SSU rRNA
Rfam family: Bacterial small subunit ribosomal RNA
Source: RNAcentral
AACGAACGCUGGCGGCGCGCCUAAUACAUGCAAGUCGAGCGAGAAGACGUAGCAAUACGUUUGUAAAGCGGCGAACGGGUGAGGAAUACAUGGGUAACCUACCCUCGAGUGGGGAAUAACUAGCCGAAAGGUUAGCUAAUACCGCGUACGCUCCUUGGACUUCGGUUCAGGGAGGAAAGCGAUACCGUGGGUAUCGCGCUCUUGGAUGGGCUCAUGUCCUAUCAGCUUGUUGGUGAGGAACGGCUCACCAAGGCUUCGACGGGUAGCUGGUCUGAGAGGACGAUCAGCCACACUGGCACUGCGACACGGGCCAGACUCCUACGGGAGCAGCAGUAAGGAAUAUUGCGCAAUGGGCGAAAGCCUGACGCAGCGACGCCGCGUGGGGGAGUGAA